Schistocerca gregaria is the source of this 1667-nucleotide RNA transcript. RefSeq lists it as uncharacterized. The record is from RefSeq and is a predicted model, not a curated record. The transcript is spliced from 5 exons. NCBI's taxonomy places the organism in Eukaryota, Metazoa, Arthropoda, Insecta, Orthoptera, Acrididae.
CGAACUCGUUGGCGGGCCGCGCACUGCCGCAGUUCCAGUGCGACAUUCUGCAGAAGUGUGCAGCACGUGCAUCUAACCCCACACAGCAAAAUGUUUGGUGGAUUCGGUGGACUGAAGGACAUCGGCUCAAAGCUGACCUCCACAGUAGAGCAGACUGUGGAAUCGAAGAAGUCAGAGUUGGAGCGCAUCGGUGCGGAGAAGAAGCAGGCAGCAGCGGCACUUCUUGAGGAGCAGAGCAAGAAGACAGGUGACCUGCUCUGGCAGACCAAGAGUGAACUGGAGAGUGCAGUCAUCGGCACCGCCACCUCCGCUGCCACCGCCGCCGCAACCUCUGCCGCCUCCGCCACCAAGACUGCCAAGCAGCAGGCCGUUGACGCUUUUGAUGCCACCAUGGCUGACGCCGAAAAGGCGGUCGACAGCACCAUCAAAACCGCCUCCACUACCAUCGACUCAAAGAUUGACGAGGCUGGCAAGGCACUGGACGAGACACGACAAGGCGUUCAGAAGGCCGUUCAAGACACCACAAAGGUGGCCUCAGAAAAAGUGUCAGAGACCACAGGUGCUGCAAGCAAGAAAGCCAGUGGACUAUUCAAUUGUGCCUCAUGCACUGUCUCAUAAAUAGUGCAGAAUUGAAUAAUUAAGUAAAUGGAGGAGAAGAUUGCACAGGUUAUCGCAGAACUCUUAUCAUUUAAGAUGGGACACCCGGCAGCUGCUUCACGCUUCGGGGGAUAGACGCACUUCAUUUUCUGCAUCAUUCUUUCAUAGCUCUUGCAUUAAUGUUCUUGUCAGUAGUGUUCUUACAAGGCCUGUGUUACACUCCUGAACAAGAAAAGCUUAUGUCAUUCCUAAAGAAGAAGUAGUAAUUUGGACUGGAAUUUUGAUACUUUACUCAUUGAAUUAAUCUUUUUACUUUUCAUAUUAGUGCGAACAGAAUUGACAUUAUACACUCGUGUAAGAAUUUCCUCACAAAUAAAGUAUUUUUUGAACAUGAGCCCAAGGUAUACAGAAUUACACCAUGAUCAGAUUGAAUAAAGGUGCAUUAGUUUUGACCUUUAACAUAUUUAGAGAGGAGUGAAAUGUAAUAUAAUGUUACACCUCUUUCUUUCCCCCAUCAAGUUCAGCAUUUUUGUCUCAAUAACCCACAUAUUGUAAAUUUUAUAACUUUUAACAGGCACUGAAGUAUUUUUUAAAUGCCAUACACAGCAAAACAUAAAUGUAAACUUGCAAAAUAUUUUUGAGAAGUUUUUCCUACUUAUUUUUGCAUCUCAUAAUCAUACAAUUAUUUCUUUCACUGCAAAAAAAUAUCACUGUUAAAAUGUUAGGGAUAUGGCUGCUUUUGUAUCCAAUCAGAAAAAGCAUAGCUGACAAAAUGUAAUAAUUAUACAAUGCAGCUACUUUAGUUGAUGGUACCAAAAAAAGGAAAAAAAAAAUCGAUGAAGUAUGAAAUAAGUACUCAACAUUUUUGCUUCUCAAUAACACCAGAAACAACAAAGAAAAAGUAGCCAGUCCUGCUCUAUAUGCGAAUGUAUAGUUCAUGUGCUUGCUAACAUUUUAAUUAGUGUUGUUCAACAAACUGUGUUAAAACUGGUAAUUGUAAAGCAGUAGAAUGAUUGGCUAACUAUGGCAUGUAUAAAUUGGAGAAAUAAAUAAACUGAGAUGUAGAUUGA